Molecule: ribosomal RNA, 1379 nt
Filed under: uncultured bacterium
Lineage: Bacteria
Description: 16S ribosomal RNA
Rfam family: Bacterial small subunit ribosomal RNA
Source: RNAcentral
AGAGUUUGAUCCUGGCUCAGGAUGAACGCUAGCUACAGGCUUAACACAUGCAAGUCGAGGGGCAGCAUCAUCAAAGCUUGCUUUGAUGGAUGGCGACCGGCGCACGGGUGAGUAACACGUAUCCAACCUGCCGACAACACUGGGAUAGCCUUUCGAAAGAAAGAUUAAUACCGGAUGGCAUAGUUUUCCCGCAUGGGAUAAUUAUUAAAGAAUUUCGGUUGUCGAUGGGGAUGCGUUCCAUUAGGCAGUUGGCGGGGUAACGGCCCACCAAACCUACGAUGGAUAGGGGUUCUGAGAGGAAGGUCCCCCACAUUGGAACUGAGACACGGUCCAAACUCCUACGGGAGGCAGCAGUGAGGAAUAUUGGUCAAUGGACGAGAGUCUGAACCAGCCAAGUAGCGUGAAGGAUGACUGCCCUAUGGGUUGUAAACUUCUUUUAUACGGGAAUAAAGUGAGCCACGUGUGGCUUUUUGUAUGUACCGUAUGAAUAAGGAUCGGCUAACUCCGUGCCAGCAGCCGCGGUAAUACGGAGGAUCCGAGCGUUAUCCGGAUUUAUUGGGUUUAAAGGGAGCGUAGGCGGGUUGUUAAGUCAGUUGUGAAAGUUUGCGGCUCAACCGUAAAAUUGCAGUUGAUACUGGCGACCUUGAGUGCAACAGAGGUAGGCGGAAUUCGUGGUGUAGCGGUGAAAUGCUUAGAUAUCACGAAGAACUCCGAUUGCGAAGGCAGCUUACUGGAUUGUAACUGACGCUGAUGCUCGAAAGUGUGGGUAUCAAACAGGAUUAGAUACCCUGGUAGUCCACACAGUAAACGAUGAAUACUCGCUGUUGGCGAUAUACUGUCAGCGGCCAAGCGAAAGCAUUAAGUAUUCCACCUGGGGAGUACGCCGGCAACGGUGAAACUCAAAGGAAUUGACGGGGGCCCGCACAAGCGGAGGAACAUGUGGUUUAAUUCGAUGAUACGCGAGGAACCUUACCCGGGCUUAAAUUACACCUGAAUAAUCUGGAAACAGAUUAGCCGCAAGGCAGGUGUGAAGGUGCUGCAUGGUUGUCGUCAGCUCGUGCCGUGAGGUGUCGGCUUAAGUGCCAUAACGAGCGCAACCCUUAUCUUCAGUUACUAACAGGUCAUGCUGAGGACUCUGGAGAGACUGCCGUCGUAAGAUGUGAGGAAGGUGGGGAUGACGUCAAAUCAGCACGGCCCUUACGUCCGGGGCUACACACGUGUUACAAUGGGGGGUACAGAGGGCAGCCAAGCCGUGAGGUGGAGCAAAUCCCUUAAAGCCAUUCUCAGUUCGGAUUGUAGGCUGAAACUCGCCUACAUGAAGCUGGAGUUACUAGUAAUCGCAGAUCAGAAUGCUGCGGUGAAUACGUUCCCGGGUCUUG